RNAcentral lists this ribosomal RNA (301 nucleotides) under uncultured bacterium. Its description in RNAcentral is "partial 16S ribosomal RNA". It matches the Rfam family "Bacterial small subunit ribosomal RNA", at positions 509 to 809 of the family's 1533-position model. The record is from RNAcentral.
CAGCAGCCGCGGUAAUACAGAGGGUGCGAGCGUUAAUCGGAUUUACUGGGCGUAAAGCGUGCGUAGGCGGCUUCUUAAGUCGGAUGUGAAAUCCCUGAGCUUAACUUAGGAAUUGCAUUCGAUACUGGGAAGCUAGAGUAUGGGAGAGGAUGGUAGAAUUCCAGGUGUAGCGGUGAAAUGCGUAGAGAUCUGGAGGAAUACCGAUGGCGAAGGCAGCCAUCUGGCCUAAUACUGACGCUGAGGUACGAAAGCAUGGGGAGCAAACAGGAUUAGAUACCCGGGUAGUCCCUGUCUCUUACAU